AGUCGAGCGGAUGAAGAGAGCUUGCUCUCUGAUUCAGCGGCGGACGGGUGAGUGAUGCCUAUGAGUCUGCCUGGUAGUGGGGGACGGCGUCUCGAAGGGGACGCUGAUACCGCAUACGUCCUACGGGAGAAAGCAGGGGACCUUCGGGCCUUGCGCUAUCAGAUGAGCCUAGGUCGGAUUAGCUAGUUGGUGAGGUAAUGGCUCACCAAGGCGACGAUCCGUAACUGGUCUGAGAGGAUGAUCAGUCACACUGGAACUGAGACACGGUCCAGACUCCUACGGGAGGCAGCAGUGGGGAAUAUUGGACAAUGGGCGAGAGCCUGAUCCAGCCAUGCCGCGUGUGUGAAGAAGGUCUUCGGAUUGUAAAGCACUUUAAGUUGGGAGGAAGGGCAUUAACCUAAUACGUUGAUGUUUUGACGUUACCGACAGAAUAAGCACCGGCUAACUCUGUGCCAGCAGCCGCGGUAAUACAGAGGGUGCAAGCGUUAAUCGGAAUUACUGGGCGUAAAGCGCGCGUAGGUGGUUUGUUAAGUUGAAUGUGAAAUCCCCGGGCUCAACCUGGGAACUGCAUCCAAAACUGGCAAGCUAGAGUAUGGCAGAGGGUGGUGGAAUUUCCUGUGUAGCGGUGAAAUGCGUAGAUAUAGGAAGGAACACCAGUGGCGAAGGCGACCACCUGCGCUCAUACUGACACUGACGUGCGAAAGCG
This 706-nucleotide ribosomal RNA is filed under the name bacterium 77-L049660-122-017-E10. Its description in RNAcentral is "bacterial SSU rRNA". It matches the Rfam family "Bacterial small subunit ribosomal RNA", at positions 60 to 761 of the family's 1533-position model. The record is from RNAcentral.